RNAcentral lists this ribosomal RNA (497 nucleotides) under uncultured bacterium. RNAcentral describes it as "partial 16S ribosomal RNA". It matches the Rfam family "Bacterial small subunit ribosomal RNA", at positions 355 to 842 of the family's 1533-position model. The record is from RNAcentral.
UGGGGAAUAUUGCACAAUGGGCGCAAGCCUGAUGCAGCCAUGCCGCGUGUGUGAAGAAGGCCUUCGGGUUGUAAAGCACUUUCAGCGAGGAGGAAGGUGGUGGACUUAAUACGUUCAUCAAUUGACGUUACUCGCAGAAGAAGCACCGGCUAACUCCGUGCCAGCAGCCGCGGUAAUACGGAGGGUGCAAGCGUUAAUCGGAAUUACUGGGCGUAAAGCGCACGCAGGCGGUUUGUUAAGUCAGAUGUGAAAUCCCCGGGCUCAACCUGGGAACUGCAUUUGAAACUGGCAAGCUAGAGUCUCGUAGAGGGGGGUAGAAUUCCAGGUGUAGCGGUGAAAUGCGUAGAGAUCUGGAGGAAUACCGGUGGCGGAGGCGGCCCCCCUGGACGAAGACUGACGCUCAGGUGCGAAAGCGUGGGGCAGCAAACAGGAUUAGAUACCCUGGUAGUCCACGCUGUAAACGAUGUCGAUUUGGAGGUUGUGCCCUUGAGGCGUGG